GUCUACGGCCACACCUAGGCGAAAACACCAGUUCCCGUCCGAUCACUGCAGUUAAGCGUCUGAGGGCCUUGUUAGUACUAUGGUUGGAGACAACAUGGGAAUCCGGGGUGCUGUAGGCUUUC
RNAcentral lists this ribosomal RNA (122 nucleotides) under Schizosaccharomyces cryophilus. Lineage: Eukaryota; Fungi; Ascomycota; Schizosaccharomycetes; Schizosaccharomycetales; Schizosaccharomycetaceae. The record is from RNAcentral.